Non-coding RNA from Schizosaccharomyces pombe (fission yeast), 384 nucleotides. Lineage: Eukaryota; Fungi; Ascomycota; Schizosaccharomycetes; Schizosaccharomycetales; Schizosaccharomycetaceae. The record is from the annotation of a GenBank genome assembly.
UAAAGUAUUUUGAAUUUUACGAUGGGGUUCUAGUGUCAGCGAGUUCAUGUCCGUUCAACAAGUUGACUUUGUUACCCUGCAUGCUAGCUGUACCAAGGGUAUAUCUAAGCUUGACUGUAAUAUGGUUGUGAUCCUUACAUUGUUGUAAUAUACUUAGGUAAAACGGAUGGCUUAAAAUAACAAUCCUUGCACUUACAAAUGUCAAAGAAAAAUUAAAACAAUAGACGGAAAUGGUAUUUCUAAGAUGAAUAAUUAGGUUUAUAGUUUAGCACAUCAUAUCAGAUAGCUUUUUCAUUCUUUGUUUGAUACUUAGGGAACCAGCACUCUUCUCUUCUUCUUCUUCUUCUUCCACUGGAGUUUUGUAUGCAAAAUCAGUUUCCAAAU